AUUGAACGCUGGCGGCAGGCUUAACACAUGCAAGUCGAGCGGGGUGAUGGUGCUUGCACUAUCACUUAGCGGCGGACGGGUGAGUAAUGCUUAGGAAUCUGCCUAUUAGUGGGGGACAACAUCUAGAAAGGGAUGCUAAUACCGCAUACGUCCUACGGGAGAAAGCAGGGGAUCACUUGUGACCUUGCGCUAAUAGAUGAGCCUAAGUCGGAUUAGCUAGUUGGUGGGGUAAAGGCCUACCAAGGCGACGAUCUGUAGCGGGUCUGAGAGGAUGAUCCUCCACACUGGGACUGAGACACUGCCCAGACGCCUACUGUAGGCAGCAGUGGGGAAUAUUGGACAAUGGGGGGAACCCUGAUCCAGCCAUGCCGCGUGUGUGAAGAAGGCCUUAUGGUUGUAAAGCACUUUAAGCGAGGAGGAGGCUCUUUUGGUUAAUACCCAAGAUGAGUGGACGUUACUCGCAGAAUAAGCACCGGCUAACUCUGUGCCAGCCGCCGCAGUAA
This 503-nucleotide ribosomal RNA is filed under the name uncultured bacterium. Its description in RNAcentral is "partial 16S ribosomal RNA". It matches the Rfam family "Bacterial small subunit ribosomal RNA", at positions 30 to 523 of the family's 1533-position model. The record is from RNAcentral.